UGAGAAGAAACCCAGCAACACACCCCAGUCAACACCAAUAAUUUGAAAAAAAAAUAAUAAAUAGCUUAGAGAUGUUGGAUGCGGCUGGCGACCUGAAGAAAAAGAGUGAGGUGGGUUGGCAAUCUAAAGAUGCGCCUGGGAUUUGUGGGAAUUCUGGGUUGCAGGACUCUUGUGCAUUGCUCUACGUUGAAAAAAGAUCCAUGGAGACCUCCG
RNAcentral lists this unclassified non-coding RNA (213 nucleotides) under Hevea brasiliensis (rubber tree). Lineage: Eukaryota; Viridiplantae; Streptophyta; Magnoliopsida; Malpighiales; Euphorbiaceae. The record is from RNAcentral.